AUUUCAUUUAAAAUCAAAAUCUCUCCUUCCUCCAGCAGGGUCUUCGGUGAAAAAGGGGGGUGUGGCGGGUUCCUUAUCUAUUUCGCUGUUUUGCGUUGUCAGCUUCCUCCCUUAGCUUGAGAACCAAGGCUUUUGAUUCCUCUAGAAAUGGAGAGUGGAGAUGUGCAUGGGGAAGAAAAGGCCUUAUUUGACUGGUCUCCUUGGAUGAGCUGCCAGUACUCUCUGGGUUCCAUCUCUUCUGGAUGCUUCUCCAGCAGCUUGAACCACAAGACAGAAUGAAUUAGAAGUCCAACUGGAAAUACAGUGGUUUACAGUGUUGUUUGAAUAUAAGGCUUCAUAUACCUCGAGAUCAGGUAUC
Molecule: long non-coding RNA, 358 nt
Organism: Phacochoerus africanus (Common warthog)
Lineage: Eukaryota; Metazoa; Chordata; Mammalia; Artiodactyla; Suidae
Exons: 3
Source: RefSeq, a predicted model, not a curated record